This 49-nucleotide transfer RNA is filed under the name Xiphinema rivesi. Its description in RNAcentral is "tRNA-Ala". The record is from RNAcentral. Lineage: Eukaryota; Metazoa; Nematoda; Enoplea; Dorylaimida; Longidoridae.
GAGAUAGUAGCUUUAAGUAUCGCUUUUGCAUAGCGAAGGUUUUAUCUCG